UACGUAGGGUGCUAGCGUUGUCCGGAUUUAUUGGGCGUAAAGGGCUCGUAGGCGGCGUGUCGCGUCGGGAGUGAAAGCCCGCUGCUUAACGGCGGGUUGGCUUUCGGUACGGGCAUGCUGGAGUGCGGCAGGGGAGACUGGAAUUCCUGGUGUAGCAGUGAAAUGCGUAGAUAUCAAGUGGAACACCAGUGGCGAAGGCGAGUCUCUGGACAUUUCCUGACGCUGAGGCACGAAAGCCAGGGGAGCAAACGGG
Molecule: ribosomal RNA, 253 nt
Filed under: uncultured bacterium
Lineage: Bacteria
Description: partial 16S ribosomal RNA
Rfam family: Bacterial small subunit ribosomal RNA
Source: RNAcentral